This 111-nucleotide ribosomal RNA is filed under the name Sinocyclocheilus anshuiensis. The record is from RNAcentral. Lineage: Eukaryota; Metazoa; Chordata; Actinopteri; Cypriniformes; Cyprinidae.
GAUAAUAAAAAAAUAAUUUAAAAAGCACGCCCGAUCUCGUAAGCUAUGCAGGGUCGGGCCUGGUUAGUGCUUGGAUGGGAGACCGCCUGGGAAUACCAGGUGCUGUAAGCU